GCUUUGAGAACUCACCGGGGACUGACUUAGCAUUAGCGUAGCGGCGGCUCUUGCCCUUACUCAUUUUGUUAAAACUUUGGAAUAUGCUAAGGUUUUUAAACUAUUACUAAAUUACUUUUGGCCUACAAACAACUCGUGCACCCAUUAAAUUUCUCAGAUAUAUACAGCUAUGUGAAAAGUAAAUAUUUCCCAUUUUAAUUUGCCCCCACAAAUUGGUAAAACAAACAAUUCAAGAAUUUUGAAAGCGUAGAUGUUAUAGACAAACAAAGGUUAUAUAUUAUUUUCUUUUUUUUUGGUACUUUUAAGUGUACGAGCGGUCGAUCAUUAAAUUCCUAAAUGAUCAAAUCUUGUUCCCCCUAAGAGAAACUUCUAGAUCCGUCCCUGGCGCUCACUCUUAAAACCGAAGUCAGGGGUUCGAAAGUUGGCAGGGGGGCUUGUCAUGUUCAAGAAUUCGUCGAAUUUAAGGAUGAGCUCAAACUUCUUAUGUUAUGGAUGGUCCUUCCAUAUUAGCUAAAUAUGAAAGAGCAACUUAUUGUCAGAGGUGUUGGGUUGGGGGUGAGGGUGGAGUGGGCUGCUUGUUUAAUCUAGUUGCUAGUUCUCAUUUAGGUCAAUUCUUUAAGGUAUCUCGUGGAGUUGCUCUCUGCCUUGACCUCUCCUACUAAUAUGUGAUAAUAUUUUGCUUUCAGGAUGAUUUCUUGAAGGUGAUAGAAGUUAGACUAUUGGUUGUGAUAUGGCAUAGCUGAGAAACAAACUUGCAAAAUACACGUGUAGUUGCUUCUGAGGAAUUUUUAGUCUUUGUAUGUAGUUUACAGUUGCAUGUAAAUGAAGGAGAAUGACUUGUAAUGCAAUCAAGUAGUGUUCAUUUAAGGCUUUUCCCCUGGGCGUUUAACUUAUACCAGCCAUUAAUGGUGCUUUACAGGUGGGAAGAUAUGGAGGGAGAAAUCCAUCAUCUUCGAACAGGGCUGAUGCAAAAUCAAAGGAUAGAUGUAUCAUUAUGUGAACAGCGUGCAUUGUAGCAUCACAUGGAAAUGAAUAUGUGGAUCAUUGCAUAAAAAGGGAAUACAUGAAUAAUACGGGAUUUAAGGAGAUUUCAAUGGAGCCGUGUGACUCAAGGCUUUGGUAGUUUGGGAAUGCAUGUUAUAUGCUCUUACGUUAUAUAGAGGUGAGAAGUUUGGAACGGCACUGCCAUCUAUACUGCAGUUGGAAGUGGGUUUUCUUUCUCCUGAUGAUCUGUUUCAAUGCUUGGUCUUGUUUUGUCAUAUUGAUGUCGACAAGGAUUGUGAGCUCCAAAUUCCUUACAUGCGUGUUGUAGUGUUGAAACUCGGAUCUCUCUGCCAUUUUGACAUCAGAUGAAUGAGGUGUGAUGCUUUCUUUGUCGUUUCAUGUAAAAAGGAAAUAGACAGUGUAAAGGGCCAAGUUCAUUUUAGUUGAGGAAGCUGCGCGACCGUGUCUCGUGGGCAGUUACAGUUUGCUAGAAACAGUAGCUUAUGGCCCUUUAAGCUGGGUGGCUUUAUCCGGAAAUGUAAGUGAAGGAAGAUUCAAGAAUGAGUUUUCACGAAGAUUGUUUUUUGUACUCAAUGAAGCCUUUCUAACCAAAUUUAAAAUUUAUGUA
This is a long non-coding RNA of Syzygium oleosum, 1612 nucleotides long. RefSeq lists it as uncharacterized. The record is from RefSeq and is a predicted model, not a curated record. Lineage: Eukaryota; Viridiplantae; Streptophyta; Magnoliopsida; Myrtales; Myrtaceae. The transcript has 3 exons.